CCACUGUGAGGUAAGGACGAGCUAAAUACAGGUGGUGUUGGUAUUAUAGGAGUGGGAGGGACUCAAUAGAGAACCCUUGGAAGAUGUCUUAGAAUCUUCCCUUCUCCAAGGAAGAUACCAUAGUGGUGAUCCUGGGAGAAGAGGUCUUUACGGUCUUUUAGCUGUGAGGCCUGCUGUGUAAUCGAAUAAUGCAGCAUUUUUAAAUUCCCCUUUCAUAUCGAGAAUAUAAUACAUAAAACGAUUUUUAACUUUAAUGGGUAACUGUGUGGUGGCGUUCUGUCGCGUCUGCUGGCAACUCAUAUUUUCCAAUCCGACAGUCAUCAUUCGGUUGACUCCGAACGGUGCGUACGUGACAAAUGUCACCUUUGAACCGCCCUUGUGCAGAACCAGAUACCUAACCGAUCUUAACGUAUACAUCCAGGAUAUUGCCAAAAUACCGUAACCUACAAUUGAAAUGAAAAACGAGCGCUACCGUUUCGACACUCACCAAGUAGAAAUGAAAGGAAAGCGAUACCGUUCCUGUACUUAUUUUCGCCAAGGUUAAUUCGCUGAUACCAAGGCGCACCGGGCGAGCUUGUACUCGGUGCAUCUCGUAGCGAUGUGUAGGCAAACAGGGAUAGGUAGGUCCAAAAGCCGAACUGGCAUACUG
Molecule: long non-coding RNA, 649 nt
Organism: Photinus pyralis (common eastern firefly)
Lineage: Eukaryota; Metazoa; Arthropoda; Insecta; Coleoptera; Lampyridae
Exons: 2
Source: RefSeq, a predicted model, not a curated record